GAAGCAAGCCAGACCGCCGCUGGUGCAAGGGUCGAAAGGCCGCACUGGAGGAAGGUCCGGACUGCGCAGGGCGGCGUAGCAGCUAACGGCUGUCCACCGCGAGGUGAGGAUCAGAGCAACAGAGACGAGCCGAUUCAGUUCGGGUGAAACGGGCAAUCUCUACGCGCAGCAACACCAAAUAGGCACGCGACGAUCCGGCCCGGGGAGCGUGCGGGUAGGUGGCAUCGAGCCGUGCAGCGAUGCACGGCCCAGAGGAAUGGCGGUCACGGCGCCGCGCCCGCAAGGGCAAGGCGCUGCACAGAAUCCGGCCUAUCGGCUUGCUUCACAC
Molecule: RNase P RNA, 328 nt
Filed under: Burkholderiales bacterium
Lineage: Bacteria; Pseudomonadati; Pseudomonadota; Betaproteobacteria; Burkholderiales
Description: RNase P RNA component class A
Rfam family: Bacterial RNase P class A
About the family: Ribonuclease P (RNase P) is a ubiquitous endoribonuclease, found in archaea, bacteria and eukarya as well as chloroplasts and mitochondria. Its best characterised activity is the generation of mature 5'-ends of tRNAs by cleaving the 5'-leader elements of precursor-tRNAs.
Source: RNAcentral